UACAACUUUCAGCAACGGAUCUCUUGGCUCUCGCAUCGAUGAAGAACGCAGCGAAUUGCGAUAUGUAAUGUGAAUUGCAGAUUUUCAGUGAAUCAUCGAAUCUUUGAACGCACCUUGCGCUCCUUGGUAUUCCGAGGAGCAUGCCUGUUUGAGUGUC
RNAcentral lists this ribosomal RNA (157 nucleotides) under Serpula himantioides. Its description in RNAcentral is "5.8S ribosomal RNA". It matches the Rfam family "5.8S ribosomal RNA". From Rfam's summary of the family: 5.8S ribosomal RNA (5.8S rRNA) is a component of the large subunit of the eukaryotic ribosome. Lineage: Eukaryota; Fungi; Basidiomycota; Agaricomycetes; Boletales; Serpulaceae. The record is from RNAcentral. RNAcentral also lists the same sequence under 1 other name.